This 10261-nucleotide long non-coding RNA is filed under the name Capsicum annuum. RNAcentral describes it as "long non-coding RNA (CANN_LNC022515)". The record is from RNAcentral. Lineage: Eukaryota; Viridiplantae; Streptophyta; Magnoliopsida; Solanales; Solanaceae.
UUGUUGGUUAUGAAGAAACACAUACUCAUGAAUACAUUUCACAUAAGAAUCGGGUAAAUGCUUAAGUUAAAGCUAGUAUUCCAAACUAAUUAUCCUCGGAAGACUUUGCAUAUUAAUAGGACCUUAUCAUUAACCUUCAACGCUACACCAUAGUGAUAGUAAAUUUCCUAAGAUCCAAAAGAUUUUUCAAGGGAUAAUUUUAAUUUUUUCUCAAUGCAUAUCAAAGGGCUCAAAUGAUCAGGAAAACAUUAUUUCUUUAAACUUUUUUUUUGCUAUCCCUUAGUGAUGGUUAAGAUACCUAUUAUAUCCAAAACAUGAAACUCUCAGCACAAAGUGGUCACUUAACCAUCAAAGUUAUUUAUAAACUUAACAAAUUCACCAAAUUCCACUUAGAAUGGCGAAUAGAGUUCGCCACGAACGCUAGAAUUUAGCUGGAAACAUAAAACCCAACAAAUCCAAAAUGACGUAAUUGAUAAGAAUUUAUGAAGGUAAUCUUCUCAAGUAUGAAUAAAAAAAGAGAAAAACCCAAACAACAAAUAAAUAAGUCGAGAGGGAUGGAGUUAAGAUAAAAUAAGUGAAUAAGUAAACCAAUAUUUAAGCUUUGGAAUGCCCAUGAUAUGAUCAAACGACUAUAGAGAAUUAACAUAAAUGUUUUAAUCCUCUGGAAAUUAAUCAAAGAGACCACGACCAGAUAUUAAAUUGGGCAAUUUGACAACUAAAAGAACUGUAUGAAGUUAAACCAAUUCUAUCCAAUGUUUACAAUGAAAAGUGAUUUUAUUAAACUAACCCAAGUAUACUAAUGUACGUAAGAUUUCCAAACCGACUGUUUUAAGAAAGAGCUUGCGUCGACUCUUUAUAAACAACAUCAAAAGUUUGGCACCUUAUAUGAAAGAACGUCCCGACAAUAAUGAGAACAUGACGACUUUAAACUCGAUUUACCAAACUAAAAAGGGGCUAAGACGACUAUUAAUUCUAGAAAAAUUGCAAGCAUCGAGGGAUCACAUAUUCACCUCUAGUCCUUGUCAAAUUUGACACUUCAAAUCAAAUUUGACUUAGGAACUCAAGCAAAGUUGGCCAGCAGACUCUUGGAUUUUUUUACUUGGUGACAUGAAUUUAACAGAUCCUAAACAGAGAUGAUCAAUGGAGGUUUGAGAAGAUAAUAUUCAUACAACUUGGAGCAUAGAUUUUAAAGCCAAACAAACAAAAGUUAGGAGCUAAACUGCAUGAUGGAUGAGCACAAAGUCAUAACUUAAUCGCAUGUGUUCGUAACCCGUAAGUGAAACACGAUGGACUGUGAACGGACAUGAGUGAAAUGACUGAUUCAAGGUGUCUUAGCGAUUAAAAAACUGAAUUACGAGUAUCCCAGGUAAGAAAGCAAGACACCUGUGAUCACUGACUUUAGCGAAAUUGAUUUCUUAGAAAAUAGUAAUGACAGUUGAACAUUAAAAAGAGAAUUUACACUCUCUGAGAAAUUUAAACACGAUGUAUCAUCCUAUGAGUUGAAAAGAAAUGGGUGAGACACUUCUCUUGUGCAAAUUCCAAAAUCGAGGCUCAGGCAAUCUUUCGGAAGUUAAGACAUCCAACUUGUUUAUCUUAGCUCUAGAGCUCAAACUAGACUAAUUAUUUAAGCUAAUUACUUAUACUAAAAGAAAACAAAUUGGGACAUGCUUAGCCAGAGAAAAAGAUAUUCAAACUAGUUAAAAAAUAACUAUCUUUACAUUGAGUUGUCAAGCCUCGCUAAUCAUUCUUAAUGCCCAAGUUAACAAAAAAAAAGAAAUACUUUCAGAAGUUUAAGGCUUGUACAACCUGUUCUUAUGCUAAGUUAUAAGUUCAAAAUCACUUUUAAAUAAACGUCUAUCUUAAAAUAAUGACAACAAGAUGUCAUGUUCAAGUGUUCAUGCAAAAAGGUACUACAAUUCCGCUACAGACAGUUUGGUAAAGCUUUGACCCUUAAAAAAAUGAGUCAGAUUGUCACUUCAGCAUCGCCUUAACAGGUUUCAAAAUCACAGAAAAAUGAUAGCUCAUGGAUACCAAUAUGAUUCUGUGCAUAACACAGAAGGAAAAGUUUACGUCUAGAUUUUAACAUCUACAUUUACUUGAAAAUAUGUCAACAUGUUUUGUUAUCUUAUAUUUUUUGGAAACAGUUUUCAUGCCUAAUUUAAUGGCUGCGGGGGUCUUGUAACCUCAUGGACGAGUACAGGAAAAAAAAUUAAGAAACCAUUACCAUGUCAAAGUACCCAAACCAACGUUACACUAAAUUUUAAACAAUCAGUUACUCUACAAAUAUGCCUCAGUUUUAUCUAAACCAACUACCAGAAAGCUAUUUUUGCUUCAAGUUGUUGUUUGUAACUUGUCAAAUGAAAGACUAAGAGGGAACUUAGACAAACAACUUGCGCAUUGGGGAACUUAGACAGAUGUACAAGGAUGGGUCCAAACACUAGUUCAUGUGGCAAGCAGGUUAACAGAGUCGAGAACAUACUAAACCAACAUAAUUUUAGGGUGCAGUAAUGGACAAACAAGAUUCUGAUUUUGAUCCUAUUUAAAGGUUGUGACUUAUGCCAGCCACUUAGUACUUAGAGAGACCCUUAUAGGAAACGACAUGUCACACAUUACUGAUGCAAAAUAAUCAUAUUCAGAAAGAAACGAAAUGAGAAUAACACUUAAAAAUUAGAAAUUUGCAAGAGAAAAGAAAAAAAGGAACUUUAGAUCUAAGGUUAGUCCUUCAUAUUCAAGAAGACUUUACUGCUUUGAACUCAUAUGUAAUUAGACAUAUUACACAGAACAUCCCCACAUGAUAAUGCAUUCAAAUAGAGAUGGGUACUUUCGAAAAUAAUUAAAGGAAACAGAGCGAGUCAAAAUUGGGUGUCAACAGUUGCCCCUGAUUGACAAAAGAUUAGUGUGAAAAUCUUUGGACAAUCACGUUGACGUAACCCAUUUUGCCUCGGGCGAAACAAAAUAUUUGGAAGAUUAUGGUUGGGCUCCGAUUUCUGAGCUACCUAUAUAUCUCGGGUAUCAGGAAAAGUCAGGCCAUCUAUAGUUCAAACCAUAGCAAAAUUUUGAUAAAUAUCAAAAUUUACCCAGCGUGGAAUUAUGGUAACACUGGGUUCCCUUGAGGAUGAUAACAAAGAUUUUAGCAUGUAUGAAAUAGAUAUGAGUGCAUUUAUCCUAAAUUGGUUGUUUGAGAUGGCUGGGAAUGUGAGAUCGAUGGAUAGCAACAUCUGCUGAGGAUCUUGAGAGAAAAGGGGAUUAUGAACUUUUAAAAAUUGCUCAGUGUCAGAUCAAGACGACACUGGGCUAUGACGCUAGGAAAAUGAGAUGACUGAGCCGAGUUGAUUUGAGUUGAGUUUCUUCACCGGAAUCUUUGACGUAGCUAGGGAUGCUUGACAUUCCACUAGCUUGCCCUAGUUUGUUGCUAAGAGGGUAGGUCCACGUUGUAUUGCAUGGUCCUGCAAAAUAGGUUAAAAGAGUGAAAAGUACCUGUUGUUCAAAAAUUGUAAUGUAAAGAGUAGAGUUAGAUAUUCAAACUAGUAUUGUGAUAUCUAUUUGUGGAGGCCUCCGACUGGUGAGGCGAUAACUAAAAUGUAAAGAGCCUCCGUCGGCUGAGCAGUUGCUUGAAAGUAAAAGGCUCCGACUGGCGGGGCAAUUGCUUGAAAGUCAGAGCCUAUGUCGGCUGAACAGUUGUUGUAAAAUAAAAGCCAUCCGACUGACGAGCAAUUGAGCCAUCCGACUGGAGAGCAACUGGAGAAUAAGCCAUCCGACUGGUGUGCAGUUGUUGAAAAAAUACACACCAUCCGACUGGUGGGUAGUUAUUGAGAAGUAUGCGAUGUCUGACUGGCGAGCAGUGUUUGAAAAGUAAAGCCUCCGACGGUGAGACAUUUGCCCAAAGGUAAAUUGGCUUGUCUUGGCAAGGCGACCUUUGAUCUGAACCAGAUAAAUUAAAAUGAUGUAGUGACCAGGCCUGACUCGGUCUGCCUAUGCAUCCAAGUGUAAUCAGGUCAGGCCGUAGUUCAGUACAAUGAAAGGGUUAUAAUAUGAAGGGACCAAAUCCCAUAAGGAUUGCCUACGUAUCCCGUCAUGGAAAGUCAGGUCGAGCGUAGUUCUAAAUACAUAAAAGGAUAAUGUUUUUGGGUUUUUCUAAGGGAAACCGAACCCUAUAUGGGUUGCCUAUGUAUCCCACCGUGGGAAGUCAGGCGAAUACGUAGUUCUUUUACAUUAGAGAAAAAUGCAGAAGUACGAAAAAAUAACAAGUCUUAAUGUUUUCAAAUGUAUUACUUCUUGAUGGUGUUUGAAUUGAUCGGCUUCGUGCUUACUGUGUCGUCCAUCUCUGCAAGGAUCACUGCUCCCUCUGAGAGUACUCGAUGAACUAUGUAGGGACCUUGCCAAUUUGAUGCAAAUUUCCCUUUAGUUUCUCCUGGUGAGGAAAUAUCUUCUUCAAUACCAAUUGUCCAGGUGUGAAGGCUUGACUUUCUUGUUGAAUGCCUUGAUCAUUCAAUUUUGAUAGAGUUGACCAUGACACACUGCGUCUAAUAAGCAUCAAUUGUUCCAUUCAGCGUCAUCUAAACCGACCUCUUAGAUGACUCUCAGUGAGGGUAUCUCUACUUCUGCAGGUAUCACUGCCUCUGAACCGUAAAUCAGUAUGUAUAGAGUUUCCCUAGUGGAUGUUCUGAUUAUGGUGCGAUAGCCGAGCAAAGCAUAUGGUAGCUUCUCAUGCCAUUCCCUGUUGCCGUCUACUAUCUUCCUCAAGAUUCUCUUGAUAUUCUUGUUUCAGCUUCAACUGCUCCAUUCAUUUGCGGUCGAUAUGUCGUGGAGUUUCUAUGAGAGAUCUUAAACCUUUCACAAAUCUGUCAUUAGGUCGCUAUUGAGAUUGGCCCCGUUAUCUGUUAUGAUUGACUCUGGGAUUCCAAACCGACAAACUAAGUUAUUGCAGAUGAAAUCUGCUACCACCUUCUUGGUUACGACCUUAUGUGUUGAAGCUUCAACCCAUUUUGUGAAAUAGUCGAUAGCUACCAAGAUAAAAUGUUGUCCAUUGGACGCAGGAGGCUCUAUGAGCCCAAUAACAUCCAUGCCCCAACCAGCAAACGGCCAAGGAGAACCUAUCACAUUAAACGACGAGUACCGUAUAAAAUCCUCAUGAACUUGACAUUGGUGACAUUUCUACACGUAUCGGAUUCUAUCCUUCUCUAUGGUCAUCCAAAAGUAGGUACAAACAAACUCAUUUCGGUACUCGUCGUAACUCUCCAAACGGUUGUAUCUUCUGAAAAGGUAAUCCAACUUUAACUUCCCAUCUUCCACAUUCCUUAGUGAUGAAAAGAUAUCCAAUCCCAACAGACCCAAGAAAUGCAACUUCCUUACAGGUGACGGGAGUACCGGCAACUUCCCUCGAAGUAGUAGCUCAGCGAAGUCACUAACUUCUUCUAGGGUAAGGGUGAUCUCAAAAUCUAGAAACUUGAAGGUCAUAGUGUUCGGCUCCCAAAAUUCCAUCAAUAGCGUAAUGAGGGCUUUAUUAGCUCGAACCCUCAUUAGCGAUAAUAGAGCACCCAAGUGUUCCCGAACCUCCGCACCAUGCGCCACAAAGAUAUUUCUCCACCAGUUCUGCAGGUUAUCAGGGGUAGAGAUGACCAUUUGGAUAUUUGGCAAAUGACCAUUUGAAUAUUUGGCAAAUUUGGGUUAAUAUUCAUCUGAAAGGAAAAGAAAAGGAUAUGGUAAGUCAUUUACCUCAAAUCCAUUAUGUGUUUUAGUUUUGACCGUUCACACCAAUUUUCUCACAAAAAUAUGUCGACAGGUUUGUAACCUUUGACAAAAGGGUGGUUUCCUAAUUGAGAUGACGAUGCCUUGGACCGUCUCGCCUAAGGUGUAUGCGACAUGACCUAUUUAUAGAGUAAGAUUAUUUUCCUAAAUAUUUUAAGAGUGGGACUGAAUAGCUACGAGAAGGCGCAUUAACCUAAUUGUACCGACUCUGAAACUAAAGAAUCCAAAAAAGGUUUGGAGGAGUGUAAGACACCCCCGCAUGAACCACCGUGUGUAAAUUGUGUACGACCAAAGACUCGAUAGGAAAAUGUAAGUGAUAAAGCAGUAACAUGUAGUGUUGUUCAAACAAAUAAGGAACGCAAGUUUGGACUUGCCUUGCGUCCUUUCACCCAAAGCAUGAUAUAAACACAUGUAAAGCAAAUAAUACAAUAAAAGCAUAAAGAUCCUAAACUAAGCGUGUUAAGGUUAAAACCUAAGUUCAUUACAUCACCAGUAGAGUUGCCAUUCUGUCGCACUCUAUUUCAAACCGGUCGAAACAACAUGCAACAUGUGGUGGCGUGUCGUGACUCUCGGGUUUUGAAAAUUCAUUUUAGAGUCGCCACCUAACUUUUUAGGAAAACUAGGAAAAAUCGAUUUCUGUUUUGGCCUAUUGAAAAUAUUUUGAGAUUCUAAUAAAGGUUCUGGUUACUCGAGGGGAAGGUGUUAGGCACCCCUCAGAGCCUAUCUGAAGAUAGUCCUUACGCUUAGUUUAGGAAAAUAUUUGAAAAAAAAAAUUAUUUUGUUAUUUUCUAAACCAGUGAUAAGAAAAACUUUUAUUAUUAUUUUCUAUUUAUCAUUUUAUAUAAAAGAAAGAAAACUUAAGGUAUGACAAACUUGAUGCUAUCACGUACAAGGGAGUAAUAUCAUUAUUGCAAAAAUAAACAUGUAUUCUAGAUGUGAAAAGGGUGAUAUUAUAAUUUACACACAUAUUAAAAAAUGUAAGUCUUAUAAUUUCAAAGAAGGUUAUUUGAAUAUAUGUGAGGUUAAAUACAUCCUUAUAGAGUGAAUAAGGUACUUUCAUGGGUGUGAGAAUUUAUUUGCAAAACUAUACAUAUUUAAGAGCACGCGAAGAAUAUGUGAGAGAUUAUGAGUAGAUUAGAGUAAAACUAAUUGUAAUGUAAACUAUGAUAAAUAAUAAUAACGAUAAUAAUAAUAGCAAUAAUAAUAAUAAUAAUAAUAAUGACGAUGAUAAUAGUAAAGUGAUAAAAAUAGUUGUUACGAAAAUAGUAAAAUAUACCUUGUACGUAGUAGCGAAUGAAAUGUAUAUACCUCGUAUUUCUACCCCUGAAAAUUCGAACAAGUGUUGAAAAUAUAACGUAAAGCAUUCGAAUUAUAAAAAAAAGGUUAGAAUUAGCGAACACCUAAGAAUUUUGUGACCUGCUCUCCCCUGUGAGUUAGUAUUUGAAAUUCUAGUUUGUUAUUUUUUUUUAAGAAAAACAUGGAGAUUGUUACAUCCAUUUUAUUAACAAAUUAUUUUAUUUUUUAAGGUGAGAUAAUCAAUUAAACACUUCAUCAAAUUUUUCUAAAAAAGAAUUUGCUAAUCCUUAAAGAAAGUUUACCUUUGUGAAUUGAUUGACUGAGUGUCGAUCACAAAAAUAUGAUAACGCCAUCCUAUUUAAAGAUUUGAUACGUAACAAAGCUAUUAUAAACAAAUAAAGCUACCUCAAGCAAAUGUUACAACAAAAUAGAGUUAGUUAACAUCCAAAAGAAAGCGUAACAUAAUAUGAGUAAGCUAAAGAAAGAAACGGCUAGGAGUACUAGACUCCAUUUCAGAGUUCAAACUUUUAUCUCGCGCGACUCCGAGGCUCUUGUGAUCCUAGUAGCAUUUGACCCGAUAGUCGGGUCAAAAUGAGUUUCGAUUGAAACUCCAUCUCCAAGAUUAAAUAAAACAAAAAAUAAAAUAAAAUAAAGAUCAGUAACUAAAAUAACAAAAUAAAUAUAAUUUGUCGGUUAUGAAGAAACGCAUACUCAUGAAUACAUUUCACAUAAGAAUCGGGUAAGUGCUUAAGUUAAGCGAGUAUUUCAAACAAAUUUUCCUCGAAAGACUUUGCAUAUUAAUAGAACCUUAUCACUAACCUUCAACGCUACACCAUAGUGAUAAUAAAUUUCCUAAGAUCCAAAAGACUUUUCAAAGGAUAAUUUUAGUUUUUUCUCAAUGCAUAUCAAAGGGCUCAAAUGAUCAGGAAAACAUUAUUUCUUUAAACUUUUUUUUUGCUAUCCCUUAAUGAUGUUAAGAUACCUAUUAUACCCAAAACGUGAAACUCCCAACACAAAGUGGUCACUUAACCAUCAAAGUUAUUUAUUAAAAAAAAAAAAAAAAAAAAAAAAAAAAAAGGGCAGCCCGGUGCACUAAAGCUACCGCUAUGCGCAGUGUCUGGGGAAGGGCCCCACCACAAGGGUGUAUCGAACGCAGCCUUACCUUGCAUUACUGCUAAAGGCUGUUUCCAAGGCUUGAACCUGUGACCUCCCGGUCACAUGGCAGCAACUUUACCAGUUACUCCAAGGCUCCCCUUCAUCAAAGUUAAUUUAUAAACUUAACAAAUUCAUCAAAUUCCACUUAGAAUGGCGAAUAGAGUUAGUCAUGAACCCUAGAAAUUUAGCUGGAAACACAAAAUCCAACAAAUCCAAAAUGGUGUAAUUGAUAAGAAUUUAUGAAGGUAAUCUUCUCAAGUAUGAAAAAAAAAAAAAAAGAAACCCAAACGACAAAUAAAUAAAUCGAGAGGGAUGGAGUUAAGAGAAAAUAAGUGAAUAAGUAAACCAAUAUUUAAGCUUUGGAAUGCCCAUGACAUGAUCAAAUGACUAUAGAGAAUUAACAUAAAUGUUUUAAUCCUCUAGAAAUUAACCAAAGGGACCACGGCCAGAUAUUAAAUUGGGCAAUUUGACAAAAUUGUACCCACGUUGACAACUAAAAAAACUGCAUGAAGUUAAACCAAUUCUAUCCAAUGAUCACAACGAAAAGUGACUUUAUUAAACCAACCCAAGUAUACUAAAUACACGUAAGAUAUCCAAACCAAUUGUUUUAAGGAAAAGCUUGUGUCGACUCUUUAUAAAAAACAUCAAAAGUUUGACACCUUAUAUGAAAGAACAUCCUGCCAAUAAUGAGAACAUGACGACUUUAAACUCAAUUUACCAAACUAAAAAGGGGCUAAGACGACUAUUAAUUUCAGAAAAAAUUGCAAGCAUCGAGUGAUCACAUAUUCACCUCAAGUACUUGUCAAAUUUGACACUUUAAAUCAAAUUUGACUUAGAAACUAAAACAAAGUUGGCCAGCAGACUCUUGGAUUUUUUUUAGUUGGCUACAUGAAUUUAACAGAUCCUAAAUAGAGAUGAUCAAUGGAGGUUUGUGAAGGUGAUAUAUACUUACAACUUGGAGCAUAGAUUUUAAAACAAAACAAACAAAAGUUAGGAGCUAAACUGCAUGAUGGAUGAGCCAAAGUCAUAACUUAAUCGCAUGUGUUCGUAACCCGUAAGUGAAACACCAUAGACUGCGAAAGGGCAUGAGUGAAAUGACUGAUUCAAGGUGUCUUAGCGAUUGAAAAACUGAACUAUGAGUAUCAUAGGUAAGAAAGCAAGACACCUCUGAUCACUGACUUACCGAAAUUGAUUUUUUAGAAAAGAGUAAUGACAUUUGAACAUUAAAAAGAGAAUUUACACACUCCCUGAGAAAUUUAAACACGAUGUAUCAUCCUAUGAGGUGAAAAGAAAUGGGAGAGACACUUCUCUUGUGCAAAAUCCAAAAUCGAGGCUUAAGCAAUCUUUAGGAAGUAAAGACUUCCAACUCGUUUAUCUUAGUUCUAGAGCUCAAACUAGCGUCCUUAUUUAAGCUAAUUACUUACACUAAAAGAAAACAAACUGGGACAUGCUUAGCUAGAGAAAAAGAUAUUCAAACUAGUUAAAAAAUAACUAUCUUUACAUUGAGUUGUCAAGCCUCGCUAAUCAUUCUUAAUGCCCAAGUUAACAAAAAAAAAAGAAAUACUUUCAGAAGUUUAAGGCUUGUAUAACCCGUUCUUAUGCUAAGUUAUAAGUUCAAAAUCACAUUUAAGUAAACGUCUAUCCUAAAUAAAUGACAACAAGAUGUCAUGUUCUACAAUUCCGCUACAGAUAGUUUGGUAAAGCUUUGACCCUUAAAAAAAUGAGUCAGAUUGUCACUUCAGCAUCGCCUUAACAGGUUUCAAAAUCACAGAAAAAUGAUAGCUCAUGGAUACCAAUAUGAUUCUGUGCAUAACACAGAAGGAAAAGUGUACGUCUAGAUUUUAACACCUACAUUUACUUGAAAAUAUGUCAACAUGUUGUGUUAUCCUAUAUUUUUUGGAAACUAUUUUCAUGCCUAAUUUAAUGGCUACGGGGGUCUUGUAACCUCACAGACGAGUCCAGGAAAAAAAAUUAAGAAACCAUUACCAUGUCAAAAAACCAACGUCACACUAAAAUUUAAACAAUCAGUUACUCUACAAAUAUGCCUCAGUUUAAUCUAAAC